Long non-coding RNA from Andrographis paniculata, 1989 nucleotides. RefSeq lists it as uncharacterized. The transcript is spliced from 6 exons. Lineage: Eukaryota; Viridiplantae; Streptophyta; Magnoliopsida; Lamiales; Acanthaceae. The record is from RefSeq and is a predicted model, not a curated record.
UAUCAUUAUCACUGGUGUAAUGUUCAUGUUCUCGAACAUUUCUGUCCCGCUGAAGAGAAGAGAUCGACGGUGAAUCGUUGACGGAAUCAUAUGCGCUGUUGGAGACGAAGUCGGCAGAAGAAAAGAAAUAGGACGAAUUCUUACUGAAGAUGUAAUAUCUCUUCGAAUUGUGCUGACUGGUGAUGAAACUACUGCAGGAGAUUCUGCACAUCAUGAGUAGGUCGUUAUCUCAUACUUACAGUCAACCUUGGACAUACUUCCUGCAGGCAACUGCCAAGGUUCCUAAAGCUCAGAUAAUAACUGAGCAUCCUGCAGUUAGGGGUUGGAGUGGUUUUAUGUGAUUGACAAUCUCGUGGAGGACAUGAAGUUAUUUGGGGUGUUAUUGAAGCUCUAAAUUCUUGCGAUGCUGAAAGUAAUUUGCUUUGAUUUUUGGAUUAACAUGCCUAUGUUUUGUGUUCCUAGGUGCUUCUGAUGUUUUAAUUGCUCAGGAAACUCUUAAGAGAUUACUGAUGGGAUUCUUGCCAAAUACACAAAUCAAGGUGGUUAUGAUUUCCUGGCUGAACAAAAGAUCAAAUUAGAACUGAACAGUGUUCUUCUGCGUGCUGGCGCCCGCGAAGCCACAUUUAUUCAAGACUGAGGCAUCAUUGAAAGGCAAUCGAAGCUCUGGAAAGAAAAGAAGAUAAUAUUGUGGUGCGGUGCACAGUUUUAUUUCCCAUCCCCUACACGUGCAUGAGGCUGCAACCAGGUAAGUGAUUGAUCGAGUGUGGUAAGUAUCGUAGGCCCUAUGAUGUGGUAUUUGGGUUUCGAUUCUUACUUUGUUGCAAUAAAGUUUGAAUUAAGAGUAUUUAAUGUGCUAUGAAAACAGCACGAGUGUGGAGAUCCAUCAUUAACUCAGCGUAUUAGAUGAGUAAUAUUAACAUUCCUCUUUGUGGUAUAGGUUUUACUCAAACAAUGUGUGUUUUGCAGGUGAUUUUAUUGCAUCACUUUCACUUUAUAUGGCACUUCAUGGAUGAAUGCAUUAUAUGCUUGCCUGUCUGUAUGCUUUCUGAUUAAAUUAGCACUCCAAAAGUAUAUACAACUCUAAUUCAAUAAAUUUCAAAAUUAACAGUGCUUUGUUCUAAUUUGUUUUAUGUAUAAUUAAAUUGUUAUGUAGUUAAAUUUUUACAUCUACGUAAAAUAUUACAUUCCCAAAUUUUUUUCCACGUAAUACGCUGAGCCAGAGGAGGCCCACUCAACUGUGAAAAAGUUAGCUCAACCGAGUACUGUUCUCCCAUGGGCUUUCGCCCAGAACAAACUGGGCCUGUCAAGCAUAGCCUACAUUAUGCUGGGGCUGCCAAACGUAGGCUCGGAGAAUUCUUGUACUGGGCCAAAACGAUGGGCCUUCGCAGAAAGCAUCAAGGGCUUACAAAAACUGGGUACAAUAUCUUGGCCCUACAACAUUUCAUUGGACCUGCUUGAACUCAGGAAAAAGCAUUAUGGGUCACAGGCAAGGAGCCGACAGAACCAUGGGCCUGGCCCGACAUGUUGUUGCGAACCUAAAAUUGGGCCGACAGAGUUCUGUGAUUGUCUGCGCUAAGCCGACAACAAUAAUGGGGGGGCCGACAUGUUGCGGAAUAGGUAGCAUAGAUAUGUACAAGAAUUUCUAGCUGUCGGAAAUACCCAGACAUUUUUCUGAUUUGGGCCAUAAAUUUCGUGGGCUAGUAGGCAAUAUAUAGACAAUGUUUAUGGGCCUGUAGCGAUACUUCUUGGGCUUAUGCUGCCAUUUUCAGGCCCAAUCAUUGUCUCUUUUAAUUAUUUUGGGCCUUUACUAGAGUUAACUGGCCCAAUAAGCUUGCGCCGCCACCGCCUUGUAUUGCCGGCAAUAAGCCGACAAUAUUUUUUGCGGUCGGCAAAUAUAUAGACAAAAACUAACGGGCCUGCGCCGUUAUUUUUUUGUGCCUUGCGCCGCCGUUUGCAAUAAACCGACAACAUUGCGGCUUAUGCCGACAU